GUCUAAGGCCAUACCACCCUGAACACCUACGAUCUCGUCUGAUUUCCGAAGCUAAGCAGGGUCGGACCCGGUUAGAACUUCGAUGGGAGACCAAAGGCGAAGGCGCUGGGCUUUGCUCC
Molecule: ribosomal RNA, 119 nt
Filed under: Cercocebus atys (sooty mangabey)
Lineage: Eukaryota; Metazoa; Chordata; Mammalia; Primates; Cercopithecidae
Source: RNAcentral